This 446-nucleotide ribosomal RNA is filed under the name uncultured bacterium. RNAcentral describes it as "bacterial SSU rRNA". It matches the Rfam family "Bacterial small subunit ribosomal RNA", at positions 355 to 825 of the family's 1533-position model. The record is from RNAcentral.
UCGGGAAUUUUGGGCAAUGGGGGAAACCCUGACCCAGCAACGCCGCGUGAAGGAUGAAGUAUUUCGGUAUGUAAACUUCGAAAGAAUAGGAAGAAUAAAUGACGGUACUAUUUAUAAGGUCCGGCUAACUACGUGCCAGCAGCCGCGGUAAUACGUAGGGUGCAGGCGUUAAUCGGAAUUACUGGGCGUAAAGCGUGCGCAGGUGGCUCCUUAAGUCAGAUGUGAAAUCCCCGGGNUUAACCUGGGAACUGCGUUUGAAACUGAGGAGCUAGAGUGUGGAAGAGGGGGUGGAAUUCCAGGUGUAGCAGUGAAAUGCGUAGAGAUCUGGAGGAACACCGAUGGCGAAGGCAGCCCCCUGGGCUAACACUGACACUCAUGCACGAAAGCGUGGGGAGCAAACAGGAUUAGAUACCCUAGUAGUCCCUGAGCGGGCUGGCAAGGCGCAU